Molecule: long non-coding RNA, 892 nt
Organism: Vombatus ursinus (common wombat)
Lineage: Eukaryota; Metazoa; Chordata; Mammalia; Diprotodontia; Vombatidae
Exons: 3
Source: RefSeq, a predicted model, not a curated record
GUUAAAUGUCCUCGUUUAAAAAGAUUACAUAUAUUCCAGUUAAAUAAUAGCUGUGGGAGAGGGCAAUUAGCAGGCUCGGUCAGGAGAGAAAAGAUGUUUUCAGAUGAGAUUUGAAAUGAGAUAGAGAGUCAAUGAGGCAGAAAGAUACAAGACAUUUUUCCUCUGAAAUUUCCUUAAAUUUGUUACUAAUGAUACCUUAAGAUCUGGGAUUUUUUACUUGAAAAAGCCAUGUCAUGAUCAAGAGGAGAGAUCAAGGAGACUAACUAUCUACAUGACCUUGGAAAAGUCACUUCCUCUACUUUUUCUCAUAUUCGAAGUGAUAAGAUGGGGAAGCUGAGAAUCAGAGGAGUACCAGAUCUAACUAAGGUCACACAGCUAUCAAAUGGUACAAGCUUCAUCUCAAAACAAGUGUACUGAUUCCAAAUCCAGUACCCAUCUGCAAUGUCAUGCAACUAGCAAAAGCCUCAAUAACGCUCCAACCCUCAGACUCCUGUGAGAGGAAGGAGUUAUUUGAGAACUUCUGCUGAAGCAAAUCUUACUUGGGAUUGCAUCACAGAACUAAGAUUGUUGUGCCUCAACCCAACAUGUCUGUCUGCCAGGACUACAGACCCUUUGACUGCCUGACAGCUGUUACACAAAUGAUUCUUCAGCAUUUCCUUGCCUAACUGGAUUUUUGAUGUCCUGCCAGCUCCUGACCCACAGUCACUGAUAGCUUUCAUGCUGGUGCCUGGUUUCCAAGGUUAGAACAUCCAUUUCAAGGGUCAUAUUCCUGUCCUAUUUUUAGCAGUGCAACAUCAUCACUAAGAACAAUACUGUAAAAAACAAACAACUCUGAAAGCUAUAAGAACUAUGAUAAAAACAGUGACUAUUCAUGAUGCCAAUCAACUGAUGA